AUGAAGCCCAGCUUGCUGGGUGGAUUAGUGGCGAACGGGUGAGUAACACGUGAGUAACCUGCCCUUAACUCUGGGAUAAGCCUGGGAAACUGGGUCUAAUACCGGAUAGGAGCGUCCACCGCAUGGUGGGUGUUGGAAAGAUUUAUCGGUUUUGGAUGGACUCGCGGCCUAUCAGCUUGUUGGUGAGGUAAUGGCUCACCAAGGCGACGACGGGUAGCCGGCCUGAGAGGGUGACCGGCCACACUGGGACUGAGACACGGCCCAGACUCCUACGGGAGGCAGCAGUGGGGAAUAUUGCACAAUGGGCGCAAGCCUGAUGCAGCGACGCCGCGUGAGGGAUGACGGCCUUCGGGUUGUAAACCUCUUUCAGUAGGGAAGAAGCGAAAGUGACGGUACCUGCAGAAGAAGCACCGGCUAACUACGUGCCAGCAGCCGCGGUAAUACGUAGGGUGCGAGCGUUAUCCGGAAUUAUUGGGCGUAAAGAGCUCGUAGGCGGUUUGUCGCGUCUGUCGUGAAAGUCCGGGGCUUAACCCCGGAUCUGCGGUGGGUACGGGCAGACUAGAGUGCAGUAGGGGAGACUGGAAUUCCUGGUGUAGCGGUGAAAAUGCGUAGA
This is a ribosomal RNA of 613 nucleotides. It matches the Rfam family "Bacterial small subunit ribosomal RNA", at positions 69 to 694 of the family's 1533-position model.